UAUCUGAGUUUUUCUGAGUCUUAGGUUCCGACGUGGGUUGGACGAUCUAUGCCUUUCACCUAAUAGGACCGAUCUCUGAAGACCUUCCGCCAGAAGAACAUCAACGACGGCUAACCUUUUGCUUCUCUGUUGACAUCAUCUUUGUUUCUGUGAUCUCUCUACAACUCUUUGUACCUAGGCCUCGGCGAAUCUUCGCUGACAACGCUUAUCAAGAUCGCCAAUCUGAAUUCCGGGAGUUGAUUGCAUGAUUCUCCUAUUUGUGUACCGAGUAAUGCUUUGGGUGAGGGAUGGAGCAGCUACCAUACCUACUACUCUUAUCAUUGCUUUUGCUACAUUGAAAUUGGUGGAUCCAUGUGACUGUUACUCCAUCCUCUCUUUCUCCGGAGUCGUCAUCGUCGACGUGAGCAACAACCCUUGUUGGUGGUGUCGACCGUCCUACCUGGAGCGAGAACUCUUGUUAGUGGUGUCGAGGUGAUCGACACGUCGCCUAAAAACUCGAUAGUUUAACCAACUCCCCCGUACCUUGAGGUGGAACCUCGGGGCGAGGUUCCUUGUUAGUGGUGUCGAUUGUAACGACCCGGAAAAACCUUAUAUUAGAUUUUUUUUCGCCUCUUCUUGUUUUUUUUUCCGAGUCGUUCCAAAGUCAUCCGCAUCAUGCAUACAUCAUAUACAUGCCUUUGACAAAAUAAAAGUUAUUUUAAAUAAACCCUAUUUCACUAUUUUAUUCUCAUAUGGUUCUAUAUGAGCCCUCCUUUAAUCUUUGCUUAUUUAACCAAAACCUUCUAGUUCUUAUUUGCAUUUAAAAUCCCAAAGAAAAAUAAAUAUUUUUUAAGCCUUGUAAAAUUGUUUUGCAAUGCAAAUAAAGCUUUUCAAAUCUUUCCAAACCCUCCUCUUUCUUGUCCAAGAAAUUCAGCAAGAGAAAGAAAAGAAGGGAGCUAUUCUGGAGAAGAGGAAAGUAGCCAGGGAACCAACAUGCCAGACUGAAUCGCCUUGCUGGUUGUCUUCUGUCAUGCAAGGCGCGUGACCACGACGUCCUCCGUGCUGGCUGUGCGCUCCUCCUCCACCACUUCCUCCCACCUGCUCCUCCUUAUCCCUAACCAGAUCCCCAAGUGAACCCUAGUCUUCCUCCUCUACCUGCCGCCCUCUUUCCCUUCUCCACGGCAACAUCGGGCACAAAAUCUUCUUCAGAAAAUCCAGCUAAGACACCAAGUUUCGCCGGAGAUAAAUCCACGCGUCUCCGCCGUUCCUCGCCGCCCUCUGCCGUGCUGACCACGAGAAUGGAGCCCCCGUGGCCUCGUCUUCCUCCUCGCUGAGUUCCUGGAGCAGGUGCAGUUCCUGGACGCCUUCUUCGACCUCGUCUUCUUCCUUGAGUCAGCCCGUCCUCUUCCUCUUCUCUGAUGACUCCCACGUCCUCGAGCUCGCCCACUUCGUCAUCAAACCCAGGCUAAAACAAUCUUCAUCAGUUUGUCUCCGUCGGCGUGCAAAGAUUAUUCUGCGUCUUGGAUUGGAUGGUGUUCGCGAGCACCCUCUUUUGAUCAGCAACCGGAGCAUUUGCUUCUUCCCGGAUAGGAUCACGAAGUGGUGUGGUGAGAUAUGACGAGUUCUCCGACAAGUUCUUCUGCAGCUUUUCACAGGCGAGCCCUCUCUCUUCACCUAUUUUAUAUUUUGCUCUCCCUCGCACUGCUAUACAUAGGUUGCGCUUCUUUAUCGAGUCACGUGUCCUAUUCCACUUGUUACCAUAAUAAUCCUAUAUGUAUCAUUCCUUACCCAUAGCCGUUGCUUGAUGUUUGAGCCUUGCGAGUCGUAGGCGUGUUUAGGCUUUGUUGUUUAUCUCGAUCUGUUAUCGGGAUAUGUUGGGUUGUUGGGAGGUUAUCACAUGUUAUAUCAG
This is a long non-coding RNA of Lolium perenne, 1888 nucleotides long. RefSeq lists it as uncharacterized. Lineage: Eukaryota; Viridiplantae; Streptophyta; Magnoliopsida; Poales; Poaceae. The record is from RefSeq and is a predicted model, not a curated record.